This 254-nucleotide ribosomal RNA is filed under the name uncultured bacterium. Its description in RNAcentral is "partial 16S ribosomal RNA". It matches the Rfam family "Bacterial small subunit ribosomal RNA", at positions 524 to 776 of the family's 1533-position model. The record is from RNAcentral.
UACAGAGGGUGCGAGCGUUGUCCGGAAUCACUGGGCGUAAAGGGCGCGUAGGUGGUGGCUUAAGCGUGCGGUGAAAGCUCGGGGCUCAACUCCGAGUCGGCCGUGCGAACUGGGCUCACUGGAGCAUAGUAGAGGCAGGUGGAAUUCCGGGUGUAGCGGUGGAAUGCGCAGAUAUCAGGAGGAACACCGGUGGCGAAGGCGGGUCUCUGGGCCGUUACUGACGCUGAGGAGCGAAAGCGUGGGGAGCGAACAGG